This 255-nucleotide ribosomal RNA is filed under the name uncultured bacterium. RNAcentral describes it as "partial 16S ribosomal RNA". It matches the Rfam family "Bacterial small subunit ribosomal RNA", at positions 99 to 354 of the family's 1533-position model. The record is from RNAcentral.
CGGACGGGUGAGUAACGCGUGGAAAACCUGCCGUAUACUGGGGGAUAACACUUAGAAAUAGGCGCUAAUACCGCAUAAGCGCACAGCUUCGCAUGAAGCGGUGUGAAAAACUCUGGUGGUAUACGAUGGUUCCGCGUCUGAUUAGCUAGUUGGUGGGGUAAUGGCCUACCAAGGCAACGAUCAGUAGCCGGCCUGAGAGGGUGAACGGCCACAUUGGGACUGAGACACGGCCCAAACUCCUACGGGAGGCAGCAG